Molecule: long non-coding RNA, 851 nt
Filed under: Zonotrichia albicollis (white-throated sparrow)
Lineage: Eukaryota; Metazoa; Chordata; Aves; Passeriformes; Passerellidae
Description: lncRNA (ENSZALG00000001789.1)
Source: RNAcentral
CCCCAAAUUUGGGUUUGGGGAGUGUCAAAGGUCAAUGGGCAGUGUCCAAAGGGGUCAAAGGUCAAGUGGGCAGUGCCAGGAGGGUGCUGGAAGGGUCAGGGAUGGUCAGUGGUCACUCAGGGCAGUGUCCAGAGGGGUCAGGGGUCAUUGGUCACUGUCAGGGAUGGUCAAUGGUCACUGUCAGGGAUGGUCAGUGGUCACUCAGGGCAGUGUCCAGAAGGGUCAGGGGUCAUUGGUCACUGUGAGGGAUGGUCAGUGGUCACUCAGGGCCGUGUCCAGAGGGGUCAGGGGUCAAUGGUCACUGUGAGGGAUGGUCAAGGAUGGUCAGAGAUGGUCAGGGUGGGUCAGUGGUCACUCAGGGGUCACUGUCAGUGAUGGUCAGUGAUCAAUGGUCACUCUCAGGGAUGGUCAUUGGUCACUGAGGGAUCACUGUCAGUGAUGGUCAGUGGUCAAUGGUCACUACCAAGGAUGGUCACUGAGGGGUCACUAUCGGGGAUGGUCAGUGAUGGUCAGCAAUGGUCAGGGUGGGUCAAUGGUCACUCAGGGCAGUGUCCAGAGGGGUCAGUGAUCAAUGGUCACUAUCAGGGAUGGUCAGGGAUGGUCAGCGAUGGUCAGUGAUGGUCAGGGAUGGUCAGUGGUCUCUCAGGGGUCACUGUCAGUGAUGGUCAGUGGUCAAUGGUCACUACCAAGGAUGGUCAUUGGUCACUGAGGGGUCACUAUCGGGGAUGGUCAAGGAUGGUCAGUGAUGAUCAGCGAUGAUCAGUGAUGGUCAGUGAUAAUCAGUGAAUGGUCAGUGAUGGUCAGGAUGGGGAUGGUCACUCAGGGGUCACUCAGGGCAGUGUCCGGAGGGG